UACAGAGGGGGCAAGCGUUGUUCGGAAUUACUGGGCGUAAAGGGCUCGUAGGCGGCCAACUAAGUCAUACGUGAAAUCCCUCAGCUUAACUGGGGAACUGCGUGUGAUACUGGAUGGCUUGGAUUUGGGAGAGGGAUGCGGAAUUCCAGGUGUAGCGGUGAAAUGCGUAGAUAUCAGGAGGAACACCUGCGGUGUAGACGGCUUACUGGACCACUACUGACGCUGAGGCACGAAAGCGUGGGGAGCAAACAGG
This 253-nucleotide ribosomal RNA is filed under the name uncultured bacterium. RNAcentral describes it as "partial 16S ribosomal RNA". It matches the Rfam family "Bacterial small subunit ribosomal RNA", at positions 524 to 776 of the family's 1533-position model. The record is from RNAcentral.